Long non-coding RNA from Talpa occidentalis (Iberian mole), 1466 nucleotides. RefSeq lists it as uncharacterized. NCBI's taxonomy places the organism in Eukaryota, Metazoa, Chordata, Mammalia, Eulipotyphla, Talpidae. The transcript has 4 exons. The record is from RefSeq and is a predicted model, not a curated record.
CACAUGAGCCACCUUUAUCCUCUCAACACUUUCAAGACUUUGGGGAGCUGUGAGUUGGGAACUAUGGAUGAAGAGCGAAGAUGGAUGAGAAAUAUAUAUUUUGAUGAACUGAAUGACCAAAUACAUUUUUUCCUUAUAAAUCACUGUUUUAUGAUUAACAACCAAAUAGCAGCAGCUCUUACUUAUUGAACACUUUUCAUUCUUUCUCAUAAGGAAUAUAAUCAUCUCAACCACCAAGAAAGCCAGCACAGGCAUGCCUUGGCGAUAUUGAGGGGUCUGUUCCAGACAGCCACAAAAAGGCAAAUCACACAAAACUUGAUUUCCCAAUGUGGCAACCGAGACUCGAAAGCCAGAAGUAGCCAUCUACCAUCACACAGCCAGAAUAUGGCAGAGCCAGCUUCAGAACCCAGGCUUCAAGCCGGGCAGUGAUGAAGCUGGGUGCCCAGAUGCUGACUACUUGUCCAGUCAGUCAAGGACCAGAGCAAAGUCUCAUGAAAUGCAAAUCAGGGCAAAUCCCUUGAAAGUUCAGUGCAUCCAAAUCUCAAGAAAAGCCUGAACCCCACUUGCAGCUUGUCCCUGCGCAGAUGGGCGCCCCCUGGGCUGGAUUCCUAGAAGACAGGAAUUUAUGGUGUGAGAGCUCCAGCCCCCGCAAACCCUGAGCCAAGGUCAACAGCAUGAGGAGGGCAGUACCGCCAAGAAGAGGGGAGCCGCAGCCUGGGGAGCGAGCUGCACAGAAAACCAAAGGAUGUGAUUCCAAAACGCCCUCUACCCCUCAAGCGCCCACACUGGGGGCUCGAACAAGAUCCCCCAGACUUGCCCAAACAGGCCAUUUCUGUGGGCAGAGCCACCAAUUCAGAGACAGGGCCUGUGAUGCUGCUGAGGGGGCAGAUCCUUGGAUUCAUGGAGGAUCUGAGAACGUCCCAUGGCUGAGACCCGAGAGAGAUGGCCCCAAACAUUCAGGGGGUGCUGAACAGGGUGCCCAUGGUGCCCCCAUCCUUCAAGCCAAGUAAGGGCAGCUAAGAUGGAAGAAGGUGACUUGGGCCCAGUGAAAAGACCCCCAGAGGUGGGAGCCUGAUUUACACCUGUCUCCCCUCUGCCUCUGGGGCCUGAGAUCCUGCCUGUCCUCACACAGCGAAUGCCCAGGGUCCAAGGCUCUAUGACAGCAGAGGACAGAUUUGUGCCAGACCCCAAGGCACUGGGGAGGGUACCCAAGGGGAAAUGAGCAGGGACCUGGAGACCACUUUGAUUCAAACCCAGAUCACCUGGGACUGGGAAGACAGGCCUGCUGUGAGACCCACAGCUGUAACUUGACAUCCAUGUGCCCCUGAGCCCCACUGGGGCCCCCCUCCCUCAGAAAAAACAGGGCUUCCUGUUGGAGAGAAACCCCAAGUGAGGGUAGUGGGGGGACUGAUAUGGAAGUGGAGGAUGAGUAUCACGUGAGGUGCUGCAGAUUCCCCGAGGAGAGA